GCGGCGGCGGCGGCUGCCAGCCUUUGAUGUCCCCGCUGUGUUUGUGUUGGCCAGCCACGCUGUCCCGGCACAACCCGCAGAUGUGCCUGCAAGCUGCAAGGCAUGGGAGAGGGAACUUAAUACCGCAGCACUGGGAGAUGGAGAAUGUGACUGGGCACGCGUGGAAUGCUGAGUAGCAGGAGGAAAACAGCAAUCUAAAUUUCUAAUGCCGAGGAUGUUUCCCAUUCUGCGUUUAUGAAACAUGGCUGCCGGGACUACAAAGUGCAGCAGGCCCCGAAUCAACCCUGCGGUCCCAUUCCUCGCUCCCCGCCAUGGCUGCGAGUGGGAGGCAGAACACGACCUGCCAAAGUGGCCGCGGAGGAAGGGAGGAGAGGUGACGUUGUGGAGGAGAAUCCCUCAAUCGGGGAACAAAAGAACACGAAAAGCGGGCGAGCCGAGGUGUCCGCGGCAGGGGCGGGAAGUGGCUGUUGACCCGAGUGCGGCGACCGAGGCAGAGACUGCAUGUCUGAUGGCGGCGAGGCAGCGUAUCGCUUACAGGCUCCCUCAGCAGAAGCCCCCCGCAUGUCCGUCUCCAGCCACAGAGUUUGCCCUCUACUUAAGGCAACAAGAGUCGGGCUCAGCAUUACAAGCCUAUUAAAAGAUACUUUUAAUUAUGCCCCCCCCCCUCUCCCGGGAUCGCUUCUUUGAUGAACUCUGUGUUUCUUUGGCAUGUGCACUUAGGAAUGGCACAACCAGAAGCACGUGUUGUUUUCUCCCUCCAAUUAAAGGGCAUG
This is a long non-coding RNA of Scophthalmus maximus (turbot), 773 nucleotides long. RefSeq lists it as uncharacterized. NCBI's taxonomy places the organism in Eukaryota, Metazoa, Chordata, Actinopteri, Pleuronectiformes, Scophthalmidae. The transcript is spliced from 3 exons. The record is from RefSeq and is a predicted model, not a curated record.